GGAUGACUCUAAAGGGGAUCUGGGCUUCAGACCUUUCCCACUCAGCCCUGUGCGUGCUUUUUGGUCUUUGUUUUAUUUUGUGUUUUUUAAAAUGGCUCUCUCUUUACCUUACCUGAAGUUUUGGCCUUGAAGCAGUUUCCCUUGUGGUCCUGCCUUUGUCAUUUUCUCAGAGCUGUGGGGUCUUCAACAAGAACCUGAGUAAGAGAACCAUGGGGAGGGAGGAUGGCACUUUUUGUUGACUUUUUUUUUUUUUCUUAGUUUUUCAGGUUAGCCAUUCUCUGCUGCUAUUUCCUUGUAUAAUGAUUGGCUUCUCCUAGACAUGACAUAUUCCUCAAGUAAAACUAAGAAGCAAAAACAGGGCAAGAUUGAGGUCCCAGCUGCUUACUCGUCACGGACCGAGUGGGCCUUGGAUUACAGCAUCCUCCAGAAGCGGCUGUAGGGCUCCAUCAUUUCUGGAAAGCCAAGGAGGUGCAACUUGAAGCUCUACCAGGGAGACGCUGGGGAGCCAUCUUCCUGUGUGGGAGCCUGGAAUAGUUUCAUUAUCCACCAGGAAAACGUGGUGCCCCUGGGCCACCCACUUAACUUACAAACUUUACUCUGAAUAACUGGCCAGCCAUUCUUUGGAUCCUGGAUUGGAUACUCCUUAAAUCAAACAUGCUCCUGUAGAAAGAAUUUGAUGUCAGACUGUCUAUGCACCAAUCAAGAAUGAAGAGACUAGAUUGCAUCAAAAAACGGCAGGGAAAUCCUUCAGCGAUUCUGAUCCACUUACGGUGUUCAGCUGUAUUUACAUCUAGAGCAAUAGCAGACUAGCACUGAAUUCUUUUCUACAUUGUAAAAUCACAGUUGCGGACCACAGGAAUUCUGAUGAGGCUAUUAAGGUGAAAUAAUAAAAAAAGGAAACUCACAAGCAAACCAAAGGCCUCAUUUUAACAGUUGACAGGAAAAUUGUAACAGGAGAGAAAAGCUGUGGCGUCAUUUCAGAAAUGUUUGCCACCAAGCAAGGGCUUUUUCCUCCUGUCAUUUAAGCAGCCAAAUGAAUCAGAAUUUAAGGAAAGAGGCAGCUGUAGAACUUGAUCUUCCAAGUAUCCCAUGUACCUUUACUGAGCUUAAAGAUAAUGCUGUCAAAAUUAUUGCCAAGAUCUCACUAAAGGAUUUCUAUUUGCUAUUAGUUAAAAAUAAAACCCUGAAUACAUUUUUAUUCUUUCUACUGUGUGCAGUCUGUUUUCUUUUAUAAAUCCAGUACAAUAAACAAAUUAUUUAAUAACC
Molecule: long non-coding RNA, 1266 nt
Organism: Ochotona princeps (American pika)
Lineage: Eukaryota; Metazoa; Chordata; Mammalia; Lagomorpha; Ochotonidae
Exons: 2
Source: RefSeq, a predicted model, not a curated record